CAGUAGCCACGGGAAUACGGAGGGUGCAAGCGUUAUCCGGAUUUAUUGGGUUUAAAGGGUCCGUAGGCGGACUUAUAAGUCAGUGGUGAAAGCCUGUCGCUUAACGAUAGAACUGCCAUUGAUACUGUAAGUCUUGAGUAUAUUUGAGGUAGCUGGAAUAAGUAGUGUAGCGGUGAAAUGCAUAGAUAUUACUUAGAACACCAAUUGCGAAGGCAGGUUACCAAGAUAUAACUGACGCUGAGGGACGAAAGCGUGGGUAGCGAACAGGAUUAGAUACCCCGGUAGUCCCUGUCUCUUAUAA
This 301-nucleotide ribosomal RNA is filed under the name uncultured bacterium. RNAcentral describes it as "partial 16S ribosomal RNA". It matches the Rfam family "Bacterial small subunit ribosomal RNA", at positions 509 to 809 of the family's 1533-position model. The record is from RNAcentral.